UCACAACAAUAGUAACCGAAUGUGGAGAAAAAAGGAAGCAACAGAGCAGAAAAACAUCAAUACAAUAUAGAUUAUAUUUUGGCUGAUAAAUUAUUUAUUGUCAUUACAUUAUAAAGUAAACUUGUCAAACUAGUUUGACAACACGAACAAGUUGUGAAUGAUCAAUGAUUUGAAGCUAACUUCCUAAUUUCGCAGUUGUUAUUACAAAAAGAACGUAAAGAUUCGUAGUUAUAAGAAACUUCAGAAACUAAAUAUUUAAGAAAAAUGUAUUUUAAACUAUUAGUUUUGGUGUUUUGUUUGCUUGCCAUCAACAAUGUUGAAGCAUCACAAGGGUACGAUUUUGGCGAUUUUCUAGCAACUGUGUUAGGUAUUGGUAUCGCAGUAACUGGUAUUCUCGCAUGUUUAGGAAAUUACGCUCGUCAAAAGGCAAGGAACGAAUUUAUUUAAAUCUUUUAUUAUAGUCUCUUCUAACCACAAGGAAAGAUGAGAAAUUAUUUAUAAUACCAUGGCACCAAAGGCGUUUGAAUAUUUGCAAGUUGCAGUCUGUAGGUCUUGUUAUAGCACAAAUCAUUAACAUCAUGUCAGAUUUGUAACUUACUGAUUAUAUUAUUAUCUAUUGUC
This is a long non-coding RNA of Zerene cesonia (dogface butterfly), 621 nucleotides long. RefSeq lists it as uncharacterized. The record is from RefSeq and is a predicted model, not a curated record. The transcript has 2 exons. NCBI's taxonomy places the organism in Eukaryota, Metazoa, Arthropoda, Insecta, Lepidoptera, Pieridae.